This 447-nucleotide ribosomal RNA is filed under the name uncultured bacterium. RNAcentral's name for it is "bacterial SSU rRNA". It matches the Rfam family "Bacterial small subunit ribosomal RNA", at positions 355 to 825 of the family's 1533-position model. The record is from RNAcentral.
UGGGGAAUAUUGGACAAUGGGCGAAAGCCUGAUCCAGCAAUGCCGCGUGAGUGAUGAAGGCCUUAGGGUUGUAAAGCUCUUUUACCAGGGAUGAUAAUGACAGUACCUGGAGAAUAAGCUCCGGCUAACUCCGUGCCAGCAGCCGCGGUAAUACGGAGGGAGCUAGCGUUGUUCGGAAUUACUGGGCGUAAAGCGUACGUAGGCGGUGACUCAAGUCAGAGGUGAAAGCCUGGAGCUCAACUCCAGAACUGCCUUUGAAACUAGGUCGCUAGAAUCACGGAGAGGUGAGUGGAAUUCCGAGUGUAGAGGUGAAAUUCGUAGAUAUUCGGAAGGACACCAGUGGCGAAGGCGGCUCACUGGACGUGUAUUGACGCUGAGGUACGAAAGCGUGGGGAGCAAACAGGAUUAGAUACCCGUGUAGUCCCUGAGCGGGCUGGCAAGGCGCAU